This 1045-nucleotide long non-coding RNA is filed under the name Anthonomus grandis grandis. Its description in RNAcentral is "uncharacterized LOC126744121". Lineage: Eukaryota; Metazoa; Arthropoda; Insecta; Coleoptera; Curculionidae. The record is from RNAcentral.
UGGGACCUGAAAAGAGUCUUCUAAUCACCCUGUGGUGGCUUGGAAAGGGCGAUACAUUAACUUCAAUUUCUGAUCGGUUUGAUGUAGCUUGUUCCACAGCUCAUCACUAUGCUAAUAUAUUAUUAGAAAGGCUUGUGGGUUUAUUACCAAAAAUUUAUUUCAUGGCCGAAUGAAGAAGAGUGGUUGACCAUUGAACAACAAUUUAGGGAAAUUUGUGGUUAUCCAGGGGUGAUUGGAGCUAUUGAUGGCUGCAAUAUAAAUUUCAAGGCUCCCCUGAAACAGCAAGAUAGCUAUAUUGAUAAAAAUUCAAACCAUAGCAUAAAGAUGCAACCUGUUGUUACUGCUAAAAGGAUAUUUACAAAUAUAAAUGUUGGAUUUCCGGGUUCAGUUCCUGACUCUAGGAUUUUUAAUAAUAGUAAGUUGUUCUUACAAACACAAGAAAAUAUCCAAAAAUAUUAUCCUUUAGAAGACUACCAUAUUUUAGGUGACAAGGCUUAUCCACUUUUAGGUUGGUUGUUGACGCCUUUUAAAGACUAUGGAAAUUUGAAUCAAAGGAAAACUAUGCACAACUUAAAACACAGUAAAACUAGAAUUCCAGUUGAACACACAUUCGGUAUAUUAAAAGGACGGUGGAGAAUAUUAAAAUAUAUAAAUGUAAAUUGUCCUAAAAAGGCAACAAAAAUCAUUGUUGCAUGCUGUGUCUUGCACAAUUACUGUUAUGAAAACCUGGAUGAAUGGACUGGUGAAAUAGAUGAAAAUGAUAAUGACAAUGAAGUUGGUAUAUUAAUCCAAAUUCAAAAUGAGAAUCUUGGAUUUUAUAAGAGAGAGCAAAUUUGUGACCUUUUUGUCUAAAGAAGAAAUGUUAGAAGUGUACAAAAGUGUAAUUAGCAACAUGUUAAAAAUCAAUGUAGAUAAGUAGAAUAAGAUAGAACGGUUAAUGUAAAUUAUGUUAAAUUUUAAACAGUUAAGAUAUAAAUGUUGAUAUUAAUGUUUGAAAAAAAUAUAGGACAAAUUAAGAAAAUAAAUAUAAAUAGAAUUUACAAAA